AUGAUCUCCUCAUCUCUCUGGUUGUUGCUGCUGCUGGCAGCUGUUUCUUGUGUCCACUGUGUUGAACUGACCCAGACUGAUUCUCUUGUCUUAAGUCCUGGUCAGGUUUUGACACUGUCCUGUAAAAUCUCUGGAUAUUCACUGACUGACAGCAGCUAUUACACACACUGGAUACGACAACCUGCAGGAAAAGCUCUGGAAUGGGUUGCAGCGAUAUGUGGUGGUGGUGACAUGUAUUACAGUGAUAAACUGAAAAGUAUUGAUUCAUAUGAAUUCACUCAGCCUGAGUCUCUGACUGUUCGUCCUGAUGCCACUCUCACUAUCAACUGUAAAGUCUCUUAUUCAGUUACAAGUGAGGAUACAGCCUGGAUUCGUCAGCCUGCAGGAAAAGCUCUGGAGUGGAUUGGAUUGAUCUGGAGUGAUGGAAGGUUAUUCUACAAGGAUUCCCUGAAAAGCAAGUUCACUAUCACCAGAGACACUUCCA
Molecule: non-coding RNA, 484 nt
Organism: Labeo rohita (rohu)
Lineage: Eukaryota; Metazoa; Chordata; Actinopteri; Cypriniformes; Cyprinidae
Source: the annotation of a RefSeq genome assembly